AUUUGAGAGGCUCCAUGGGAGUGCGGUAUGGGAGCUCAAUUUGGCCUCUGUGUGCCUAUGGCGGCUCCGCAAAUGCUCACACCGUUCAAGCACCUCGGGCCACAUUUUCGUAUCAAGCAUAAGUUUUCUCUUAGAGUACAGGCAGGCAUGCCUGAGCAUGACUGACUAGGCUACAUCCUCCCCUGCUCCUGGGAAGAAACCUGGGGACUCAUAAGUAACAUGAAGUGUCAUUACUCUGGCCGUUUGGGUGUAACGAUUACCAUUUGAAAUAGCGUAGAAGUACGUUCUCACUGGUUUCAUAAUCACAGAGCUGCCAAAUAUCGCCUCGGCGGUAAAUUCCAAAGGGCUGGCAUAUUCUUUCACAACUGCAAAAUGGGUACGAGUUCAAAAUAAAAUAAUUCCAAAAAUUGAACGCCUUGCUUGCUUUACCUUACUUACACAUCAUAGUGAGUGUAAAUAAAGCAUAAAGAACACAAGUGUUUGCUUAUUUUUAUGAACCUCUUACCUAUUUUUACAGUUGCAAAAGAAUACGCAAUAUUCUAUAGAAGCAAAAAGACAACGUCUGGGUUUUUCCUGACCUGCAGUUUGCCAUUUAUUUCUCGUGGCCUCGUGCAGCCGGGGCUAUUGCCUUGUGUAUGUAGCUUUCAGACCAGGGCUAUUGCCUUGUGUAUGUAGGUUUCAGACCAGGGCUAUUGCCUUGUGUAUGUAGGUUUCAGACCAGGGCUAUUGCCUUGUGUAUGUAGGUUUCAGACCAGGGCUAUUGCCUUGUGUAUGUAGGUUUCAGACCAGGGCUAUUGCCUUGUGUAUGUAGGUUUCAGACCAGGGCUAUUGCCCUGUGUAUGUAGGUUUCAGACCAGGGCUAUUGCCCUCUGUAUGUAGGUUUCAGACCAGGGCUAUUGCCCUCUGUAUGUAGGUUUCAGACCAGGGCUAUUGCCAGUGCCUUGCACAAGUUUUUAUCCCCCUUUCUGUUUUUCCUAUUGUUUCAUGUAAUGGAUUUACACAAAAUAAUCUAAAUUUGUGAAGUGAAAUUUAAAAAAUGACUUGUUUCAAAGAAUAAAAACAGGAAAGUGGUACGUGCGUAUGUAUUCACCCCCAAAUGCUUUGAAGCCCCUAAAUCAGAUCUGAUUGCACACAGGUAGAUUUUAAGUGUCACAUGAUCUCAUAUCUACCCCAGUUCUGAAAGGCCCCAGAGUCUGCAACACCACUAAGCAAGCGGCACCAUAAAAACAAACGGAGCUCUCCAAACAGGUCGGGGACAAAGUUGUGGAGAAAUACAGAUCAGGGUUGGGUUAUAAAAAAAUAUCAGAAACUUAGGACAUCCCACGGAGCACCAUUAAAUCCAUUAUCUCUGCUGCAGAUGAGUUUAUUAGGAUCUCUUUUAGUCCUCCAUUUGGAGUAAUCUUCCAAGAGUCCUUCAACAUUAAAAUACAAUUUAUAAUACGAUCACAUUUUCACAUUUAACACACUAUUACAGACAUAAUACACUGACAUAUUGACCAGAUAAAUACUCUUUAACAGUCUGAAAUUAUAGAUUGAUUCCUUCAUCUACCAUAUUCCUGCACAACCUUCCAAUUUAUUGUAUUUAAAUGGUCCUAAAGUAUUGUUUGAAUUUAUAUAUUGAAAGGUUUCUGGUUUGCUCAGAUACAUUUUUCCAUUUCUUUAUUGCUCUAAAUUGAAAUUUUAUUUAGCCUAUUUCUCUUUUCUGUCUGUCCACCAUCUGUGUUAUCCAAUCUAAAUCAAAUUAAAUGUUAUUUGUCACAUACACAUGGUUAGCAGAUGUUAAUGCGAGUGUAGCGAAAUGCUUGUGCUUCUAGUUCCGACAAUGCACUAAUAACCAACAAGUAAUCUAGCUAACAAUUCCAAAACUACUACCUUAUAGACACAAGUGUAAGGGGAU
Molecule: long non-coding RNA, 1897 nt
Organism: Oncorhynchus tshawytscha (Chinook salmon)
Lineage: Eukaryota; Metazoa; Chordata; Actinopteri; Salmoniformes; Salmonidae
Source: Ensembl